RNAcentral lists this ribosomal RNA (223 nucleotides) under uncultured Pasteurellales bacterium. RNAcentral's name for it is "partial 16S ribosomal RNA". It matches the Rfam family "Bacterial small subunit ribosomal RNA", at positions 109 to 334 of the family's 1533-position model. The record is from RNAcentral. Lineage: Bacteria; Pseudomonadati; Pseudomonadota; Gammaproteobacteria; Pasteurellales.
AGUAAUGCUUGGGAAUCUAGCUUAUGGAGGGGGAGUAACUACGGGAAACUGUAGCUAAUACCGCGUAGUAUCGAGAGAUGAAAGUGUGGGACCUUCGGGCCACAUGCCAUAGGAUGAGCCCAAGUGGGAUUAGGUAGUUGGUGAGGUAAAGGCUCACCAAGCCGACGAUCUCUAGCUGGUCUGAGAGGAUGACCAGCCACACUGGGACUGAGACACGGCCCAG